This 90-nucleotide non-coding RNA is filed under the name Pseudomonas sp. OV226. Lineage: Bacteria; Pseudomonadati; Pseudomonadota; Gammaproteobacteria; Pseudomonadales; Pseudomonadaceae. The record is from RNAcentral.
UGUGGGAGCGGGCUUGCCCGCGAUUGCAAUGUGACAUUCAGCAUCUUUGUUGAAGGGUAGACCGUCAUCGCGGGCAAGCCCGCUCCCACA